Molecule: ribosomal RNA, 242 nt
Filed under: Schizochytrium aggregatum
Lineage: Eukaryota; Bigyra; Thraustochytrida; Thraustochytriidae
Description: partial Eukaryotic small subunit ribosomal RNA
Rfam family: Eukaryotic small subunit ribosomal RNA
Source: RNAcentral
GGGGCUAGAUCUUUGCAAUUAUUGAUCUCCAACGAGUAAUUCCUAGUAAACGCAAGUCAUCAGCUUGCGUUGAUUACGUCCCUGCCCUUUGUACACACCGCCCGUCGCUACUACCGAUUGAAUGGCUCAGUGAGGCCUCCGGACUGGCUCGAAGAGGUUGGCAACGACCACUUCGAGCCGGAAAGCUGGUCAAACUCGGUCAUUUAGAGGAAGUAAAAGUCGUAACAAGGUUUCCGUAGGUG